RNAcentral lists this ribosomal RNA (209 nucleotides) under Azospirillum brasilense. RNAcentral's name for it is "partial 16S ribosomal RNA". It matches the Rfam family "Bacterial small subunit ribosomal RNA", at positions 1235 to 1444 of the family's 1533-position model. The record is from RNAcentral. Lineage: Bacteria; Pseudomonadati; Pseudomonadota; Alphaproteobacteria; Rhodospirillales; Azospirillaceae.
GGUGACAGUGGGAUGCGAAGUCGCAAGAUGGAGCCAAUCCCCAAAAGCCGUCUCAGUUCGGAUUGCACUCUGCAACUCGGGUGCAUGAAGUUGGAAUCGCUAGUAAUCGCGGAUCAGCACGCCGCGGGGAAUACGUUCCCGGGCCUUGUACACACCGCCCGUCACACCAUGGGAGUUGGCUUUACCCGAAGGUGGUGCGCUAACCGGCA